Molecule: ribosomal RNA, 253 nt
Filed under: uncultured bacterium
Lineage: Bacteria
Description: partial 16S ribosomal RNA
Rfam family: Bacterial small subunit ribosomal RNA
Source: RNAcentral
UACGUAGGGGGCUAGCGUUGUCCGGAAUCAUUGGGCGUAAAGCGCGUGUAGGCGGCCCAGUAAGUCCGCUCUGAAAGCCCGAGGCUCAACCUCGGGAGGCGGGUGGAUACUGCUGGGCUCGAGUACGGAAGAGGCGAGUGGAAUUCCCGGUGUAGCGGUGAAAUGCGCAGAUAUCGGGAGGAACACCAAUGGCGAAGGCAGCUCGCUGGGACGUUACUGACGCUGAGGCGCGAAAGCGUGGGGAGCGAACAGG